CAAUAGCGUAUAUUUAAGUUGUUGCAGUUAAAAAGCUCGUAGUUGGAUUUCGGUUAAGAGCGACCGGUCCGCCGUUUGGUGUGCACUGGUUGGUUUUAACUUCCUGUAGAGGACGUGCUCUGGGUUUAACGACCUGGACUCGGAGUCUACGUGGUUACUUUGAAAAAAUUAGAGUGUUCAAAGCGGGCUUACGCUUGAAUAUUUCAGCAUGGAACAACACUAUAGGACUCCUGUCCUAUUUCGUUGGUCUCGGGACGGGAGUAAUGAUUAAGAGGAACAGUUGGGGGCAUUCGUAUUUCAUUGUCAGAGGUGAAAUUCUUGGAUUUAUGAAAGACGAACUUCUGCGAAANCANNNGCCAAGGAUGUUUUCAUNAA
This 375-nucleotide ribosomal RNA is filed under the name uncultured eukaryote. Its description in RNAcentral is "partial 18S ribosomal RNA". It matches the Rfam family "Eukaryotic small subunit ribosomal RNA", at positions 592 to 976 of the family's 1831-position model. The record is from RNAcentral.